GAUGAAGAACGUAGCGAAAUGCGAUAAGUAGUGUGAAUUGCAGAAUUCAGUGAAUCAUCGAAUCUUUGAACGCACAUUGCGCCCCUUGGUAUUCCAUGGGGCAUGCCUGUUCGAGCGUCAUUUGUACCUUCAAGCUCUGCUUGGUGUUGGGUGUUUGUCUCGCCUCUGCGUGUAGACUCGCCUCAAAACAAUUGGCAGCCGGCGUAUUGAUUUCGGAGCGCAGUACAUCUCGCGCUUUGCACUCAUAACGACGACGUCCAAAAGUACAUUUUUACACUCUAGACCUCGGAUCAGGUAGGGAUACCCGCUGAACUUAAGCAUAUCAAUAAGCGGAGGA
Molecule: unclassified non-coding RNA, 337 nt
Filed under: soil metagenome
Description: partial contains 5.8S ribosomal RNA, internal transcribed spacer 2, and large subunit ribosomal RNA
Rfam family: 5.8S ribosomal RNA (bases 1-120)
Source: RNAcentral